This is a long non-coding RNA of Protopterus annectens (West African lungfish), 417 nucleotides long. RefSeq lists it as uncharacterized. NCBI's taxonomy places the organism in Eukaryota, Metazoa, Chordata, Ceratodontiformes, Protopteridae. The record is from RefSeq and is a predicted model, not a curated record. The transcript has 3 exons.
ACUAACUUCGUUGGGUUAAGUUUUAUUUGUUACUAAGGAGCUGUAGUGUUGGCGGAAAUCAACGUAGUAGCUGAUGCUUUGCUCAAUAAUUGGAGCAUGUUGGAUGUAAAUGGCAUCAGAGGGUGGUUUACACUGAAGCGCAUAAGAAAAGGAAAAACAUAAAACCUUCCUGAAGUCUGUAACCAGAUGGCAUCACCAAGCAGUCUCAGAGAGAAAAUUAAAAGUAAACGCAAAGCCCUGCAAGAAUCUUUAACUGCUACGAAAGAUGAAGGCGACACUCAGGUUAGUAUAACCUUCAGCUACUUGUAGGAUACUGAAAUCAUUUCAGGUGUUUUUAAGCCAUACUUAGAAAAGCUCAUUGUAAAGCUUGCUAACGUAUAGUAGUCUGUGAAAAAUGCAACUCUGCAUACCCCAGUA